RNAcentral lists this ribosomal RNA (140 nucleotides) under uncultured bacterium. RNAcentral describes it as "partial 16S rRNA". It matches the Rfam family "Bacterial small subunit ribosomal RNA", at positions 355 to 511 of the family's 1533-position model. The record is from RNAcentral.
UGGGGAAUUUUCCGCAAUGGGCGAAAGCCUGACGGAGCAAUGCCGCGUGGAGGUGGAAGGCCUACGGGUCGUCAACUUCUUUCUCGGAGAAGAAACAAUGACGGUAUCUGAGGAAUAAGCAUCGGCUAACUCUGUCCCAG